Molecule: small nucleolar RNA, 138 nt
Organism: Psammomys obesus (fat sand rat)
Lineage: Eukaryota; Metazoa; Chordata; Mammalia; Rodentia; Muridae
Product: small nucleolar RNA SNORA48
Exons: 1
Source: RefSeq, a predicted model, not a curated record
CACUUCAGGUAAUGGGUAAAGAGACACCUUGUUGGUGAUGUCGUUCUUAGAUCAGUCAGGAGCAGAACAGUUGUUCUGUUCAUCCUAACUCAGUACCUGGCUUGCUGGCCAAAGUUGUUUUAUACCUAGGACACAUCA